CCCUUAGAUGUCCGGGGCCGCACGCGCGCUACACUGAAGGAAUCAGCGUGGCUUUCUCCCUGACCCGAAAGGGUUGGGAAACCCGUUGAAUCUCCUUCGUGAUAGGGAUUGGGGCUUGAAAUUGUUCCCCAUGAACGAGGAAUUCCCAGUAAGCGCGAGUCAUAAGCUCGCGUUGAUUACGUCCCUGCCCUUUGUACACACCGCCCGUCGCUACUACCGAUUGAAUGGUCCGGUGAAGCCUCGGGAUUGUGGUUAGUUUCCUUCAUUGGAAGUUAGCCGCGAGAACUUGUCUAAACCUUAUCAUUUAGAGGAAGGUGAAGUCGUAACA
Molecule: ribosomal RNA, 328 nt
Filed under: uncultured eukaryote
Lineage: Eukaryota
Description: partial 18S ribosomal RNA
Rfam family: Eukaryotic small subunit ribosomal RNA
Source: RNAcentral